RNAcentral lists this ribosomal RNA (495 nucleotides) under uncultured bacterium. RNAcentral's name for it is "partial 16S ribosomal RNA". It matches the Rfam family "Bacterial small subunit ribosomal RNA", at positions 28 to 507 of the family's 1533-position model. The record is from RNAcentral.
GACGAACGCUGGCGGCGUGCCUAAUACAUGCAAGUAGAACGCUGAAGGAGGAGCUUGCUCUUCUGGAUGAGUUGCGAACGGGUGAGUAACGCGUAGGUAACCUGCCUGGUAGCGGGGGAUAACUAUUGGAAACGAUAGCUAAUACCGCAUAAGAGUAGAUGUUGCAUGACAUUUACUUAAAAGGUGCAAUUGCAUCACUACCAGAUGGACCUGCGUUGUAUUAGCUAGUUGGUGGGGUAACGGCUUACCAAGGCGACGAUACAUAGCCGACCUGAGAGGGGGAUCGGCCACACUGGGACGGAGACCCGGCCCAGACUCCUACGGGAGGCAGCAGUAGGGAAUCUUCGGCAAUGGACGGAAGUCUGACCGAGAAACGCCGAGUGAGUGAAGAAGGUUGUCGGAUCGUAAAGCUCUGUUGUAAGAGAAGAACGAGUGUGAGAGUGGAAAGUUCACACUGUGACGGUAUCUUACCAGAAAGGGACGGCUAACUACGUG